RNAcentral lists this ribosomal RNA (483 nucleotides) under uncultured bacterium. RNAcentral's name for it is "partial 16S ribosomal RNA". It matches the Rfam family "Bacterial small subunit ribosomal RNA", at positions 28 to 523 of the family's 1533-position model. The record is from RNAcentral.
GACGAACGCUGGCGGCGUGCUUAACACAUGCAAGUCGAACGAUGAAGCCCAGCUUGCUGGGUGGAAGAGUGGCGAACGGGUGAGUAACACGUGAGUAACCUGCCUAUCACUCUGGGAUAAGCGCUGGAAACGGCGUCUAAUACUGGAUACGACCUAUCACCGCAUGGUGUGUGGGUGGAAAGAUUUAUCGGUGGUAGAUGGACUCGCGGCCUAUCAGCUUGUUGGUGAGGUAAUGGCUCACCAAGGCGACGACGGGUAGCCGGCCUGAGAGGGUGACCGGCGACACUGGGACUGAGACACGGCCCAGACUCCUACGGGAGGCAGCAGUGGGGAAUAUUGCACAAUGGGCGCAAGCCUGAUGCAGCAACGCCGCGUGAGGGACGACGGCCUUCGGGUUGUAAACCUCUUUUAGUAGGGAAGAAGCGAAAGUGACGGUACCUGCAGAAAAAGCACCGGCUAACUACGUGCCAGCAGCCGCAGUAA